Long non-coding RNA from Vitis riparia (riverbank grape), 820 nucleotides. RefSeq lists it as uncharacterized. NCBI's taxonomy places the organism in Eukaryota, Viridiplantae, Streptophyta, Magnoliopsida, Vitales, Vitaceae. The record is from RefSeq and is a predicted model, not a curated record. The transcript is spliced from 2 exons.
UCUCAUCUGCAGAUGCAUCUGUUUCUGCACCAAAGUUAAACAAAGAAACAAAAAAGCGAAAAGCAAAAUAUGCUGACAUUGUAAGUGAAGAAUUAAGGUCAAUUAGAGUUGGAAUGGAUGCAGUUGUUGCGGCUCUUGAUAGAAGCAACCUUCAAAAUUAUACAGAAGAGCAAUUGUUUGAAGAGAUUGCUAAGAUUGGAGGCAUGAGUGAUGUAUCUCAUAUGAAAGCAUAUCAAGCUCUUACCGGUGAUGUGAGUGCAGCCCGAGCCUUCCUUGCUUGUCCAAUUGAUAGGCGUAAGCUUUGGUUGUCAGUUAAAUUUGGACCUACUUUUUUUGAUGCCUAAUUUGAGAUAAUCUACUUAAAAAGGCUUGAAAGUGGAACAUGAUUUUAUUCCACUUGUUCCACAAGUAUCAAUGGGUGUGCAGAUCAAACAAGCCUAAUGGACAGCCUAAGUGGCUUCUUUCUCUUAUUCCAGAUUAUUCGCUGCUCAACUUCAUGCUCACAACUGCCAUCUAUAUCUUAGUCCCCUCGGCUUUUUGAACUAACCAAUACACUUAAAGACAGCUUUUAUUCCUACAAAGGACAAUCACCGGCUGCUGCAUAAAUUUUCUUUCUGGAAUUUCAUAUUUCUCUGUGCUUAUAUUGCAUUGGGUUCAUUCUUCUUCAGAUUCUUCAUGCACAAUUAAGUUCUAUUUCUUGCUUCUAUGUUAUUGGAAUGAAUCAGAUUUGCAAGAUGUAUUGCAAAAUGCAUUCUUAAGGAUUUUAACUGGAUCAUGUCAUUCAGAAUCCAUCAAACUAAUUUUGAUGUUUGAACGUUCA